GAUGAACGCUGGCGGCGUGCCUAAUACAUGCAAGUCGAGCGAACAGAUGAGGAGCUUGCUCCUCUGACGUUAGCGGCGGACGGGUGAGUAACACGUGGAUAACCUACCUAUAAGACUGGGAUAACUUCGGGAAACCGGAGCUAAUACCGGAUAAUAUAUUGAACCGCAUGGUUCAAUAGUGAAAGACGGUUUUGCUGUCACUUAUAGAUGGAUCCGCGCCGCAUUAGCUAGUUGGUAAGGUAACGGCUUACCAAGGCAACGAUGCGUAGCCGACCUGAGAGGGGGGUCCGCCAAACUGGGACUUAAGAACGGGCCAGACUCCUACGGGAGGCAGCAGUAGGGAAUCUUCCGCAAUGGGCGAAAGCCUGACGGAGCAACGCCGCGUGAGUGAUGAAGGUCUUCGGAUCGUAAAACUCUGUUAUUAGGGAAGAACAAAUGUGUAAGUAACUAUGCACGUCUUGACGGUACCUAAUCAGAAAGCCACGGCUAACUACGUG
This 497-nucleotide ribosomal RNA is filed under the name uncultured bacterium. RNAcentral describes it as "partial 16S ribosomal RNA". It matches the Rfam family "Bacterial small subunit ribosomal RNA", at positions 28 to 507 of the family's 1533-position model. The record is from RNAcentral.